This 696-nucleotide ribosomal RNA is filed under the name uncultured marine bacterium. RNAcentral describes it as "bacterial SSU rRNA". It matches the Rfam family "Bacterial small subunit ribosomal RNA", at positions 60 to 801 of the family's 1533-position model. The record is from RNAcentral.
AGUCGAACGAAGUAGCAAUACUUAGUGGCAGACGGGUGAGUAACAUGUGGGUAUCUGCCCUUUGGCCUGGAAUAACACGAGGAAACUUGUGCUAAUACCGGAUAAGUCUUUACGGAGAAAGCUUUAUGCACCAUUGGAUGAGCCUGCACUUGAUUAGUUUGUUGGUGGGGUAAUGGCCUACCAAGACUUUGAUCAAUAGCUGAUUUGAGAGGAUGAUCAGCCACAUUGGGACUGAGACACGGCCCAAACUCCUACGGGAGGCAGCAGUGGGGAAUCUUGCACAAUGGGGGAAACCCUGAUGCAGCGAUGCCGCGUGAGUGAAGAAGGCCCUUGGGUUGUAAAACUCUUUCGUCGGGGAAGAAAAUGACUGUACCCGAAUAAGAAGGUCCGGCUAACUUCGUGCCAGCAGCCGCGGUAAUACGAAGGGACCUAGCGUAGUUCGGAAUUACUGGGCUUAAAGAGCUCGUAGGUGGUUAAAAAAGUUGAUGGUGAAAUCCCAAGGCUCAACCUUGGAACUGCCAUCAAAACUUUUUAGCUAGAGUGUGAUAGAGGUAAGUGGAAUUUCUAGUGUAGAGGUGAAAUUCGUAGAUAUUAGAAAGAACACCAAAUGCGAAGGCAACUUACUGGGUCGCUACUGACACUGAGGAGCGAAAGCAUGGGUAGCGAAGAGGAUUAGAUACCCUCGUAGUCCAUGCC